This is an RNA transcript of Mandrillus leucophaeus (drill), 5388 nucleotides long. It is a transcript of the gene named Jrk homolog (mouse), with no coding region annotated. Lineage: Eukaryota; Metazoa; Chordata; Mammalia; Primates; Cercopithecidae. The transcript has 2 exons. The record is from RefSeq and is a predicted model, not a curated record.
GCCCCUGAAGUGCUGUGCCUGGAGAUACCAUCGUGGACCCUGGAGAGGCACCCUGCAGCUUAUGCGGUAAAACCUCGACCACCCCAGACCUGGUCAGUUUGAGGGGAGCUGCUACCACAGUAUCCACUGAGGCCGGGGUUCCGGUCGUGUGGAGCAGCAGAGGGGAGUCUCGACAAGGUCACCUCCUCCACAGAGAGAACUGGCAGCUGACUGCACUGCCAGGAGCCAAGGCUUGGGUGUGUGGAGCCUGGAAGACCAGGGACACCUGAGGCAGGAGGUGCAGCGUGUGGAGUGGGGAACCCGAGACGGACUGGGGCCUGUGCUCAGGAUCAGGCAGGCAGAGUGGAGAGGGAGAGACGGAGCCCUGGAAGGGGAGCAGGAGGAGGGGGAGUAGUGGCAGCAGCCCAGGCCAGGCGUGUGUCCUGCAAGUGCUAGGACCAGCUACCCCUCCCCAUGGCCUCCAAGCCGGCUGCCGGGAAGAGCGGAGGGGAGAAGCGGAAGAGGGUGGUGCUGACGCUGAAGGAGAAGAUUGACAUCUGUACGCGCCUGGAGAAGGGCGAGAGCCGGAAGGCACUGAUGCAGGAGUACAACGUGGGCAUGUCCACCCUCUACGACAUCAGGGCCCACAAGGCACAGCUGCUUCGGUUCUUCGCCAGCUCGGACUCCAACAAGGCACUGGAGCAGCGGCGCACGCUGCACACGCCCAAGCUGGAGCACCUGGACCGCGUCCUGUACGAGUGGUUCCUGGGGAAGCGCUCCGAGGGCGUCCCCGUGUCAGGCCCCAUGCUCAUCGAGAAGGCCAAGGACUUCUACGAGCAGAUGCAGCUCACUGAGCCCUGUGUGUUCUCUGGAGGGUGGCUUUGGCGCUUUAAGGCCAGACACGGCAUUAAAAAGCUAGAUGCAUCCAGUGAGAAGCAGGCAGCCGACCACCAGGCCGCGGAGCAGUUCUGUGGGUUUUUCAGGAGCUUGGCUGCCGAGCACGGGCUGUCCCCCGAGCAGGUUUACAAUGCUGAUGAGACCGGCCUUUUCUGGCGGUGCCUGCCAAAUCCCACUCCAGAAGGCGGGGCCGUGCCUGGCCUCAAGCAGAGCAAGGACCGGCUGACCGUGCUGAUGUGUGCCAACGCCACAGGCUCCCACAGGCUCAAGCCCUUGGCCAUCGGGAAAUGCAGCGGCCCCAGGGCUUUCAAAGGCAUCCAGCACCUGCCUGUCGCCUAUAAGGCCCAGGGGAGUGCCUGGGUGGACAAGGAGAUUUUUUCCGAUUGGUUCCAUCAUAUCUUUGUGCCCUCGGUGAGAGAGCACUUCAGAACCAUAGGUUUGCCGGAAGACAGCAAGGCCGUUCUCUUGCUGGACAGCUCCCGGGCUCACCCGCAGGAGGCCGAGCUGGUGUCCAGUAAUGUUUUCACCAUCUUCCUGCCUGCCAGCGUGGCCUCAUUGGUGCAGCCCAUGGAGCAGGGCAUUCGGAGAGACUUCAUGAGGAACUUCAUUAACCCUCCGACCCCCCUCCAGGGCCCUCACGCCCGCUACAAUAUGAAUGAUGCCAUAUUCAGCAUGGCCUGUGCCUGGAAUGCAAUUCCCAGUCACGUCUUCAGGCGGGCCUGGAGGAAGCUGUGGCCAUCAGUUGUGUUUGCUGAAGGCUCCUCCUCUGAGGAGGAGGUGGAGGCAGAGCACUUCCAAGCGAAGCCCCACAACACAUCCUUUGCGCACAUCCUGGAGCUUGUGAAGGAAGGCUCCUCCUGCCCGGGCCAGCUUCGCCAGCGCCAGGCCGCCGGCUGGGGUGUAGCAGGAAGGGAGGCAGAAGGGGGACAACCCCCUGCUGCCACGUUGCCAGCAGAGGUUGUGUGGGGUUCAGAAAAGACUCCGAAAGCUGACCAAGACGGUGGAGGAGAUCCUGGUGAGGGUGAGGAGGCGGCCUGGGAGCAGGCAGCCGUGGCCUUCGACGCAGUCCUGCGCUUUGCGGAGCGGCAGCCGUGCUUCAGUGCACAGGAAGUGGGGCAGCUGCGAGCGCUGCGCGCCGUGUUCCGGAGCCAGCAGCAGGUGAGGAGGAGGCGUGGCGCCCUUGGGGCUGUGGUCAAGGUUGAAGCCCUCCAGGAGGGCCCUGGUGGCUGUGGGGCCACGGCUCACUCUCCCUUGCCCUGCUCAUCCACAACAGGUGACAACUGAUGGCUUCUCUGCCCUGCCCUGGCCACUGGCCCUGUUUCUCCACGCACCCUGGAGUGGCAUGGUCCUGUGCCCCGACCCCACCUGAGGCAGGAGGGCAUGUGCAGACACUCAAGAGCCCUUCCAGGAGCGGGUCGCCCACGGUGUGGCUCGGGUGCUCAGGACAGUGUGUGCCCGAGGUUCCUGUCAAUACAGGUUUUAUCACUUGCCAUGUCAUCCGAAAGUGAGGAAAUGUUUUGGAAGGGUCCACCCUAGCCUAGAACAAGCCAGAGCCUCACUCUGGCUGGAAUGGGGGCCAGGCUGGGCUGAUCUGGCCUCGUGUUCGCUGGCUGAUCAUUGCAGUAUCAGAGGGUGGAGAUGUCUGUCUGUCCAUGUGGAGAGAAGUUGCCCUCCAGGCCGACAGGAGGCCAUGCCCACCGCCCCUGGACAAGCUUCGUCUCAGAAGGCUCUAUCUGCUGGGCUGGCGGCCAUCCCCUUGUUGGGUGGACCCCGGCAAGGUGCCUGAGGGCCGAUGGCCGAGAGCUAGGACUCAGUUCUUGGCCUGCUCUCGGCUGAAGAGGGCGCACGUCUCACUUCAGUCGUGGCCUCGUUCAGCAGAAUGACUGGAACCAUCCUCUGUUACCCGCAGAUCCCAUCCCAUGGGCUCUGGCCCCAGGAUGUGGGGGGCCCCACGGAGAGUUGACUUGGUAGAGUUUCUUUCCGUGAAGAAAGUAGGAGUGGCUGACCAGGCCCUGCUCAUCACCCGGAUACAGGACACAGACCCUGCGUGGUAUUUUGGCAUUUUGGCUCAGAGUGCAAUGUGCCAUGUUGCCCGGAAUUUCAUACUUACGGCCUUUACAUGAAUACAUCUUGAUCAGACGUUCAGAGAUUAGUCUUAGGUUUGCACGUAAGUCACUGGAAACAGUAAAACAGGUUGCUUAGAUUUCCAGCAAUUAUAUUUGUGCUCUUAUCCCCAGCUGUUAGCACGUUAGUAAUACCUUGGGGGAGGAGUUGUCUGUCCUGGUCAGUGUUCACAGACGCGGUUGUAAGAGGAUGUGGUGAUUUUCUCCACGUCUGUAGCUGCUUUGCAGCAUCUGCAUUUCACGGGCAGCACUCGCUUCCUGCAGCUGAAAUUCCAGAAUGCCCUGUGUCCACAGUGAUUAGCCUCGUCUUUGAGCGAGCAUGAAAUAGGUGCAUUGUUCUUUUUUUUCAUUCUUGAGGCAGGGUCUCACUCUGUUGACCAGGCUGGAGUGAAGUGGUAUGAUCACAGCUCACUGCAGCCUCGACCUCCCUGGCUUGAGUGAUCCUCCCACCCCAGCCUCCUGAGUACCUGGGACUAGAGGCGUGCACCGUGACGCCUACCUUUUAAUUUUUUUGUAGAGACAGUCUCACUGUGUUGCCGAGGCUAGUCUUGAACUCUUGGCCUCAAGCGAUCCUCCCUCCUCAGCCUCCCACAGUGCUGGGAUUACAGGCGUGAGCCCCAGCACUCGGCCUAAAUGGGUUUUUCUUGCUAUGUUAUUUUCAGUGCUUUGCUCUUGAAUUCUUUUCCCCUCUUAAAUUUGUAUCAUUUGGCUGAGUCAGCACGUAGUUUGCAUUCCAGCGUCUGCUGUUGAUUCCACUGAAACCUUUGUUCUCAUGAGGGAGAGGAUUUGGCUCGCUGUGGUUUCUUGUAUUUUCACAUCUCUGCCGAUACAGGGGCAAAAGUCAUUGCUGACAGAGCCCUGCCUGUCUCCUGGGAGUGUGUGUUUCUUGCUUUGAAUGCAUGUGUGAUGGUUAUAAAAGCCAAAUAGUUUCUAAAGAUCUCGGUGCUGAAUGACAGUCCCAGUUGUUCCCAUUUGGGUCCCGUUGCCUUCGUGGUGUCACCCCACUGUUUGCUUCCUGUGUCUGGGGAACUUCUGCACAUCCGUGUACUUCGUGCCAUUUCUGGGCUCACGUGUCACUCCUAGCAGAGCCUCAUAACCAAGAUUGCUGGAUUGCGGCUGCUUGAGGCAACGCAGGAGGUUAGAACAUGUCUCGAGGGCUCUGAAGCAGCAGGACAUCCUGGGUGGGUGGAGCUGAGGAGGGCACGGGGCAGGCCUGCCGAGCUCCUGGCUGGCUCUCCUGAAUCCUCUGGAGAUGGCUUGUCCCUGUCAGACUGUAGCUCUUCAGGACCUGAGCUCUUCCCGCUCUUGACCUGCUUCUGUGCUGACUGUGCUGGGCUCAUGGGUAGACAUUUGUCCCCAGUGAGUGGCUGUGUCCUCAGGGUGCCCCUCUUUGAGACUAACUGCAACAAGGCUUGGAACCUGACUCUAGGCACAGCCCCUGUGGCUGGAAUCCCUUGUGCCACCCAGGGGACUUGGGCCCUGCUCCUCCUGCAGUCCCUCCUCACCUGGGCUCGCUGCUGCGGGUCUCCCUGGAGUGAGGUUUUUAGGGAGCCCAGAGCUUACUCAUCUCUGCGCUGCUGGGCCCAGCUGCCUGCUGCGUACUUCCUGCCUCCAUCCUGUCCCCCGGAACGCUUUGUGGAGACUGCUGUUUCCUCCGAACACUUUGUUUUCACUUCCUGACCAGUCUCAGAAGCUCAAGUGGUGGAAUGUUUUAGCCUCAGAAUCUUGUUCCCCAAGCCCUCUCAGGUGGAUCCCCGCUGCACCAGACACCACAGCACAGCCCUGUGAGGCUGUGUCUCCUCACUCCGUUUCUGGGGCUGCUGAGGCCCCUGGGAAGCCCUGGAGCUUGCCAGAGCAGAGCGUGCAAGUCUCUGGUCCCGUUUAAAUGCCUCUCCCUUUUAUCUGUGAAUACGGGGCUGGAGCCACUCCUUAUCUUCUCACCGUGCCCCUACAGGUCAUGGCCUCAGUUCUCCAGUGGCUACUGGGGCAGUGGGUGCUGCGACGUCUGGUUUGGGACCUCUGUGGCUGCUUCCAGCCUGCUAGUAGAACGAACCUCUUUGUACCACCACAUUCUUCUCUGGUGGUGCCCCUGAGGGCUCAGGCCUGAAGGCACUCCUUUGUCCUCAGUUGGGACAGGCAGCCUCCACUCUGGGAGCUCCCAUCCCUCAGGGUGCCCAGGAGAGGCCAUACUUUCAGGGUGGCACGGUGAAUUCAGGGAUUGGGAUUGGUAGGUGGUCUUUCAGCCCCUUCUACCUUGGAUUGGUUUACAGAACACCUGUCCUGCCUGUGCCAGCCUGGAUCUCCGUGGGCACCCCCGGCACGCUGUGCUGAAGGUUGUCUGCCUCCUGCAUAGGAGGAUCUAGAGCGGACCUUGCCCUGGGCCCGUCUG